AUUGAACGCUGGCGGCAGGCUUAACACAUGCAAGUCGAGCGGGGUGAUGGUGCUUGCACUAUCACUUAGCGGCGGACGGGUGAGUAAUGCUUAGGAAUCUGCCUAUUAGUGGGGGACAACAUCUCGAAAGGGAUGCUAAUACCGCAUACGUCCUACGGGAGAAAGCAGGGGAUCACUUGUGACCUUGCGCUAAUAGAUGAGCCUAAGUCGGAUUAGCUAGUUGGUGGGGUAAAGGACUACCAAGGCGACGAUCUGUAGCGGGUCUGAGAGGAUGAUCCGCCACACUGGGAGUGGUAAACGGCCCAGACUCCGACGGGAGGCAGAGGUGGGGAAUAUUGGACAAUGGGGGGAACCCUGAUCAGCCAUGCCGCGUGUGUGAAGAAGGCCUUAUGGUUGUAAAGCACUUUAAGCGAGGAGGAGGCUCUUUUGGUUAAUACCCAAGAUGAGUGGACGUUACUCGCAGAAUAAGCACCGGCUAACUCUGUGCCAGCCGCCGCGGUAA
This 502-nucleotide ribosomal RNA is filed under the name uncultured bacterium. RNAcentral's name for it is "partial 16S ribosomal RNA". It matches the Rfam family "Bacterial small subunit ribosomal RNA", at positions 30 to 523 of the family's 1533-position model. The record is from RNAcentral.